Molecule: ribosomal RNA, 229 nt
Filed under: uncultured bacterium
Lineage: Bacteria
Description: partial 16S ribosomal RNA
Rfam family: Bacterial small subunit ribosomal RNA
Source: RNAcentral
UCCGCAGGCGGGCAAUUAAGUCAGAGGCGAAAUCCCACAGCUCAACUGUGGAACUGCCUUUGAUACUGGUUGUCUUGAGUUAUAGUGAAGUAGAUAGAAUAUGUAGUGUAGCGGUGAAAUGCAUAGAUAUUACAUAGAAUACCGAUUGCGAAGGCAGUCUACUAACUAUAUACUGACGCUGAUGGACGAAAGCGUGGGGAGCGAACAGGAUUAGAUACCCUGGUAGUCC